This 2301-nucleotide long non-coding RNA is filed under the name Nicotiana tabacum (common tobacco). Its description in RNAcentral is "long non-coding RNA (NTAB_LNC015588)". The record is from RNAcentral. Lineage: Eukaryota; Viridiplantae; Streptophyta; Magnoliopsida; Solanales; Solanaceae.
UAGUGCAUCGUAGAGUUGGUAGAAAUAUUUGCAGAAAAUGGCAAUUACGUGAUUCAUUAUGCUACCGCGUGUCUGUUCCGCUGACCGCGGAAUCACCACAGAAUGAGUAAGAAACAACUCAAAUUUGAAGACCAUUUUGUGGCCAUUAUGCUGGCCACAAAUCCUUUCUUCUACUGCGGAACUGCAUCACAGAUCUGACCAGACCCAACCCAAAAUUUGAAGACCAUUUUGUUGCCAUUCUGCUGGACGUGGAUGCUGCCGCAGAAUUGCAUUGCAGAGUUGACAUACUAUUUUGUGGCCAUUCUGCUAGCCACGGAUCUAUUUUGCUACCACAGAAUUGCAUCAUCUAAUUGAGCGCGGGGGUUAUUUUUGAAAAUUUCCUAAUCCAACUCUAUUUUUAUAUAAAGGCCUUAGGGGGACAUUUUAGAAGGUACAAUCUGAUGUUUUAAGAGAGAGGGGAGGAAUUAGUGAGAGAAGGAGGAGCUCCAACAUCUUUCACUUCAAAUUCUUGAUCAAGCCUUGGGUAUUCAUGAGGGAAAAUCUCAUAAGUCUUAUAUUAAAAAGGUAAGACCUUUCCCCAGCUCACAUGCAAUAUCCUACUAUGCAAUUAUGAGUAAGAUUGUAUUAUUUUGGGGGUUUAUGGGAUAGUGAUCAAAAGCCUAGCCUCCAUUUCGAAUUUGGGGUGUGUGAGGAGAAGGUGGGGUGUGAUUGGUGAUUUAGGGGUGUGACGUUGGGUAUGCAUGUAUCAAUGAAGGUGAUGUGGAGGAUGUUGAACUAUAGUGGGUAGAUUAUUAUUUGAAAUUGGUUGUGGGGUGAAAUUCCACCAUAAAAACCUUAUAGUCAAAAUGUGCACACUUAAUGUUUGAUGAAAUGCCAAUAAUGGCUAAACCUAUAAACGCCUCCCUAAUAGUUGUUCUGUUUAAUUAUGCUGCUAUAGAUUGAAGUGCUAAGACUAGUGGAUCGUUGUAGUAAUCCUAAGAAAAUCUCAAUCGAGGUAUGUUGGCUAAACUCUCACCAUAAAAUCGAAUUUUCAUGAGUUCCUUAUGAAUUCCACGUACGAUUUGACCAAACUCCCAUGCUUAUUGUGCUAGAUCAUUACAAAUGUUUUCAUUUAUCGAAUGUCUAAUUACUCAAAUCAUGUCUCAGUUUUCUCUAUAUGUAUAUCAUACUCUCCCUUGGGAAAUAGUCCUAGUAUGAUCGAAUCAUCAAAUGAUCAUGAACUCAAUACAUGGUUCUGUUGAAAUUACUACGCUCUUAUUUGUAAAUGUUUCUUAUGUAUUCUAAGCCCAUAUAUAUCACGAGCCGAAGCUAUGAUUUUCCAGAUAUUUUAUAAGUGACUUUAAAUGUUUUAUAGUCCAUGUCAAAUGAAAGAAUGAAAGCAUGAAGUAUGAAAUGCAGCCAUAGUGCCAAGAAUGAUGAUUUACAUUUGUGGCCAAGAGUGCCAAUAAAAUGAGAGAAAGUAUGAAAGGAUAUGAAACAAAUGUGAUUCCUGUAAGUGAUAAAUUUUUUGGGAGUAUUGUUAGGUCACCGAGGAAGGCUGGGUCAUAAAUGCCCAAGCCCGAAACUACACAUACUAGUGUAGGAGUAGAUUGAGGGAUGAAUUCCUGUUAUGUAUUAUAUUGAGAUUAUUCCUCUUGAUUGGGAUGAUUUGAUAGCAAGCAAAAACCAUGUCGACCCACACGACAUUGUGGUGAGACGACCCAUACGAUCGAGCAGAGAUCAAACACCAUGCCAUGCACAUGGUGGUGUUGUGUUUGUAAGUCCACCCGUAUAUAUUGGGGUCGAACUCCAUGCCAUGUGCAUGGUGGUUUGUUGGUACCUAGGAUCUCCCAACCUAAAAUGAGAGCUACUUAUUUGAAGUUUUACUUUAUUUAAACCUGAAAUUUACAUAUUAUUGAUAUACUUACUGUUUCCAUGUAUUUUAUCCUUGGAUGUUUUUAUUCCAUUUCAUGAGAGGGUAUUUAGAUUUAUAUAUUAGUACUAUUCCAUAUGUACUAACGUCCCUUUUGCCAUGGGCGCUACAUCUUUAAUAGAUGCAGGUGGUUCUGCAACAAGUGGCAGUGAUUGUUGAUAGUAUCAUACCCUCUUCUAAGCGAUUUUUGGUGAACAUUAUGCUAUACCAAGGCCCAUAUGUUAUAUUAUCUUCAUGUACAUUUACUUUUGAGAUAUAGUCAGGGCCUUGUAACCCGCACUCCCAUAUGGUACUCAUGUUCUCCUAGAAGCUCUGUAGACAUAGUGUGGGUUGUGUUUUGAUUUGGUAAAUAUACUAUAACUAAUGUAGUUAUGGGAUGUUCCACUUUC